RNAcentral lists this ribosomal RNA (422 nucleotides) under uncultured bacterium. RNAcentral describes it as "bacterial SSU rRNA". It matches the Rfam family "Bacterial small subunit ribosomal RNA", at positions 29 to 458 of the family's 1533-position model. The record is from RNAcentral.
AUUGAACGCUGGCGGCAGGCCUAACACAUGCAAGUCGAGCGGCAGCGCGGGGCAACCUGGCGGCGAGCGGCGGACGGGUGAGUAACGCGUAGGAAUCUACCCAGUAGCGGGGGAUAGCCCGGGGAAACUCGGAUUAAUACCGCAUACGCCCUAAGGGGGAAAGCAGGGGAUCUUCGGACCUUGCACUAUUGGCAGAGCCUGCGUUGGAUUAGCUAGUUGGUAGGGUAAAGGCCUACCAAGGCGACGAUCCAUAACUGGUCUGAGAGGAUGAUCAGUCACACCGGAACUGAGACACGGUCCGGACUCCUACGGGAGGCAGCAGUGGGGAAUAUUGGACAAUGGGGGCAACCCUGAUCCAGCCAUGCCGCGUGUGUGAAGAAGGCCUUGGUGUAAGCACUUUGUCUAGGAACGAAACGGUUAGG